UACGUAGGGUGCAAGCGUUGUCCGGAAUUAUUGGGCGUAAAGGGCUCGUAGGCGGUCCAUCACGUCGGGAGUGAAAAGCUGGGGCUUAACCCCAGUCCUGCUUCCGAUACGGGUGGACUAGAGGUAGGCAGGGGAGAACGGAAUUCCCGGUGUAGCGGUGAAAUGCGCAGAUAUCGGGAAGAACACCCGUGGCGAAGGCGGCUCUCUGGGACGGUACUGACGCUGAGACGCGAAAGCGUGGGGAGCGAACAGG
RNAcentral lists this ribosomal RNA (253 nucleotides) under uncultured bacterium. RNAcentral's name for it is "partial 16S ribosomal RNA". It matches the Rfam family "Bacterial small subunit ribosomal RNA", at positions 524 to 776 of the family's 1533-position model. The record is from RNAcentral.